This is a small nucleolar RNA of Phragmites australis (common reed), 139 nucleotides long. RefSeq annotates it as small nucleolar RNA Z247. The transcript has a single exon. Lineage: Eukaryota; Viridiplantae; Streptophyta; Magnoliopsida; Poales; Poaceae. The record is from RefSeq and is a predicted model, not a curated record.
CUCCUCACUGACGAAGAAGUUAUCAGCUACAUCAUGACUGGUCUCGUUCCGGAGUUUGAUCCUUUAAUGGCCUCCCUCAUCGUGUACAAUGGGUCGGUGAGUUUGACCGAGUUAUAUGCCUUUCUUCUCAGUUUUGAAG